GACGAACCGUGCGAACGUUGUUCGGAUUCACUGGGCUUAAAGGGCGCGUAGGCGGGCUGCCAAGUCAGGGGUGAAAUCCUUCGGCUCAACCGGAGAACAGCCUCUGAUACUGGCGGUCUGGAGGGAGGUAGGGGCAGGUGGAACUUCUGGUGGAGCGGUGAAAUGCGUAGAUAUCAGAAGGAACGCCGGUGGCGAAAGCGACCUGCUGGACCUCUUCUGACGCUGAGGCGCGAAAGCUAGGGGAGCAAACGGG
This 253-nucleotide ribosomal RNA is filed under the name uncultured Gemmata sp. RNAcentral's name for it is "partial 16S ribosomal RNA". It matches the Rfam family "Bacterial small subunit ribosomal RNA", at positions 524 to 776 of the family's 1533-position model. Lineage: Bacteria; Pseudomonadati; Planctomycetota; Planctomycetia; Gemmatales; Gemmataceae. The record is from RNAcentral.